RNAcentral lists this ribosomal RNA (556 nucleotides) under Microsphaeropsis sp. MFLUCC 15-0487. Its description in RNAcentral is "eukaryotic LSU rRNA". The stretch from base 185 to 338 matches the Rfam family "5.8S ribosomal RNA". The record is from RNAcentral. Lineage: Eukaryota; Fungi; Ascomycota; Dothideomycetes; Pleosporales; Didymellaceae.
AAAGCGUAACAAGGUUUCCGUAGGUGAACCUGCGGAAGGAUCAUUACCUAGAGUUGUAGGCUUUGCCUACCAUCUCUUACCCAUGUCUUUUGAGUACUUACGUUUCCUCGGUGGGUUCGCCCGCCGAUUGGACAAUUUAAACCAUUUGCAGUUGCAAUCAGCGUCUGAAAAACAUAAUAGUUACAACUUUCAACAACGGAUCUCUUGGUUCUGGCAUCGAUGAAGAACGCAGCGAAAUGCGAUAAGUAGUGUGAAUUGCAGAAUUCAGUGAAUCAUCGAAUCUUUGAACGCACAUUGCGCCCCUUGGUAUUCCAUGGGGCAUGCCUGUUCGAGCGUCAUUUGUACCUUCAAGCUUUGCUUGGUGUUGGGUGUUUGUCUCGCCUUUGCGUGUAGACUCGCCUUAAAACAAUUGGCAGCCGGCGUAUUGAUUUCGGAGCGCAGUACAUCUCGCGCUUUGCACUCAUAACGACGACGUCCAAAAGUACAUUUUUACACUCUUGACCUCGGAUCAGGUAGGGAUACCCGCUGAACUUAAGCAUAUCAAAGGGGAAGGAAA